GGCUUAACACAUGCAAGUCGAGGGGCAUCAGGAUGAAAGCUUGCUUUCUUUGCUGGCGACCGGCGCACGGGUGAGUAACACGUAUCCAACCUGCCCUUUACUCGGGGAUAGCCUUUCGAAAGAAAGAUUAAUACCCGAUAGCAUAAUGAUUCCGCAUGGUUUCAUUAUUAAAGGAUUCCGGUAAAGGAUGGGGAUGCGUUCCAUUAGGUUGUUGGUGAGGUAACGGCCCACCAAGCCUUCGAUGGAUAGGGGUUCUGAGAGGAAGGUCCCCCACAUUGGAACUGAGACACGGUCCAAACUCCUACGGGAGGCAGCAGUGAGGAAUAUUGGUCAAUGGGCGCUAGCCUGAACCAGCCAAGUAGCGUGAAGGAUGAAGGCUCUAUGGGUCGUAAACUUCUUUUAUAUAAGAAUAAAGUGCAGUAUGUAUACUGUUUUGUAUGUAUUAUAUGAAUAAGGAUCGGCUAACUCCGUGCCAGCAGCCGCGGUAAUACGGAGGAUCCGAGCGUUAUCCGGAUUUAUUGGGUUUAAAGGGAGCGUAGGUGGACUGGUAAGUCAGUUGUGAAAGUUUGCGGCUCAACCGUAAAAUUGCAGUUGAUACUGUCAGUCUUGAGUACAGUAGAGGUGGGCGGAAUUCGUGGUGUAGCGGUGAAAUGCUUAGAUAUCACGAAGAACUCCGAUUGCGAAGGCAGCUCACUGGACUGCAACUGACACUGAUGCUCGAAAGUGUGGGUAUCAAACAGGAUUAGAUACCCUGGUAGUCCACACAGUAAACGAUGAAUACUCGCUGUUUGCGAUAUACAGUAAGCGGCCAAGCGAAAGCAUUAAGUAUUCCACCUGGGGAGUACGCCGGCAACGGUGAAACUCAAAGGAAUUGACGGGGGCCCGCACAAGCGGAGGAACAUGUGGUUUAAUUCGAUGAUACGCGAGGAACCUUACCCGGGCUUAAAUUGCAGUGGAAUGAUGUGGAAACAUGUCAGUGAGCAAUCACCGCUGUGAAGGUGCUGCAUGGUUGUCGUCAGCUCGUGCCGUGAGGUGUCGGCUUAAGUGCCAUAACGAGCGCAACCCUUAUCUUUAGUUACUAACAGGUUAUGCUGAGGACUCUAGAGAGACUGCCGUCGUAAGAUGUGAGGAAGGUGGGGAUGACGUCAAAUCAGCACGGCCCUUACGUCCGGGGCUACACACGUGUUACAAUGGGGGGUACAGAAGGCAGCUAGCGGGUGACCGUAUGCUAAUCCCAAAAUCCUCUCUCAGUUCGGAUCGAAGUCUGCAACCCGACUUCGUGAAGCUGGAUUCGCUAGUAAUCGCGCAUCAGCCACGGCGCGGUGAAUACGUUCCCGGGCCUUGUACACACCGCCCGUCAAGCCAUGGGAGCCGGGGGUACCUGAAGUACGUAACCGCAAGGAUCGUCCUAGGGUAAAACUGGUGACUGGGGCUAAG
RNAcentral lists this ribosomal RNA (1437 nucleotides) under uncultured organism. RNAcentral describes it as "SSU rRNA". It matches the Rfam family "Bacterial small subunit ribosomal RNA". The record is from RNAcentral.